CAGCAGCCGCGGUAAUACGGAGGGGGCUAGCGUUGUUCGGAAUUACUGGGCGUAAAGCGCACGUAGGCGGCUUUGUAAGUUAGAGGUGAAAGCCCGGAGCUCAACUCCGGAAUUGCCUUUGAGACUGCAGAGCUAGCAGGUGAGAGAGGUGAGUGGAAUUCCGAGUGUAGAGGUGAAAUUCGUAGAUAUUCGGAAGAACACCAGUGGCGAAGGCGGCUCACUGGCUCAUACUGGACGCUGAGGUGCGAAAGCGUGGGGAGCAAACAGGAUUAGAUACCCCCGUAGUCCCUGUCUCUUAUAC
Molecule: ribosomal RNA, 301 nt
Filed under: uncultured bacterium
Lineage: Bacteria
Description: partial 16S ribosomal RNA
Rfam family: Bacterial small subunit ribosomal RNA
Source: RNAcentral